Myotis davidii is the source of this 330-nucleotide long non-coding RNA. RefSeq lists it as uncharacterized. The record is from RefSeq and is a predicted model, not a curated record. NCBI's taxonomy places the organism in Eukaryota, Metazoa, Chordata, Mammalia, Chiroptera, Vespertilionidae. The transcript has 3 exons.
GUACCCUGAUAAGCCCAGAAGGCACCACUGGAGCACACUGAUAUGAGACACUGAAGAUGCCCCUCCAUCGGGUAUAAAAGAAGGACCCUCACACCAGCAGCCAGACGCCUGUCUGCCCUCCACAGACGAGACGUCAUUCUUACCCCCCUGGAACCUGCUGUUCCUGCUCUGCCCUGAGCCCAGAUUGUUAGAGGCCUUUCUUCGAGUCAAGAGACCGAGCAUCUUCCGCGGCGUAUCUGACGACCUCCGUGUGUCUCUGUCAGCGAGUGUCUCCGGGUGGCCUGCCAAGGACUGAAACCCAUCAGCGCUCUGAACUCUGGCAGGCAGACC